AUGAACGCUGGCGGCGUGCCUCAUACAUGCAAGUCGCGCGAACAGACGAGGAGCUUGCUCCUCUGACGUUAGCGGCGGACGGGUGAGUAACACGUGGAUAACCUACCUAUAAGACUGGGAUAACUUCGGGAAACCGGAGCUAAUACCGGAUAAUAUAUUGAACCGCAUGGUUCAAUAGUGAAAGACGGUUUUGCUGUCACUUAUAGAUGGAUCCGCGCCGCAUUAGCUAGUUGGUAAGGUAACGGCUUACCAAGGCGACGAUGCGUAGCCGACCUGAGAGGGUGAUCGGCCACACUGGAACUGAGACACGGUCCGGACUCCUACGGGAGGCAGCAGUAGGGAAUCUUCCGCAAUGGGCGAAAGCCUGACGGAGCAACGCCGCGUGAGUGAUGAAGGUCUUCGGAUCGUAAAACUCUGUUAUUAGGGAAGAACAAAUGUGUAAGUAACUAUGCACGUCUUGACGGUACCUAAUCAGAAAGCCACGGCUAACUACGUG
Molecule: ribosomal RNA, 496 nt
Filed under: uncultured bacterium
Lineage: Bacteria
Description: partial 16S ribosomal RNA
Rfam family: Bacterial small subunit ribosomal RNA
Source: RNAcentral